UACGAAGGGUGCUAGCGUUGCUCGGAAUGACUGGGCGUAAAGGGCGCGCAGGCGGCUUGGUAAGUCGGAUGUGAAAACCCGAGGCUCAACCUCGGGCGUGCAUCCGAAACUGCUCGGCUAGAGGUAGGUAGGGGAGAUCGGAAUUCCUGGUGUAGCGGUGAAAUGCGCAGAUAUCAGGAGGAACACCGGUGGCGAAGGCGGAUCUCUGGGCCUUACCUGACGCUCAGGCGCGAAAGCUAGGGGAGCGAACUGG
RNAcentral lists this ribosomal RNA (253 nucleotides) under uncultured bacterium. RNAcentral's name for it is "partial 16S ribosomal RNA". It matches the Rfam family "Bacterial small subunit ribosomal RNA", at positions 524 to 776 of the family's 1533-position model. The record is from RNAcentral.